UUCCCAGUGUCUCUCUCCCAGUCUCUCUUACUUUCCCAGUGUCUCUCUCCCAGUCUCCCUCUCACUUCCCCAGUGUCUCUCUCUCACAGUCUCUCUUACUUUCAGUGUCUCUCUCCCAUUCUCUCUCUUUACUUUCCCAUGUCUCUCUCCCAGUCUCUCUUACUUUUCCCAGUGUCUCUCUCCCAGUGUCUCUCUCCCAGUCUUUCUCUUACUUUCCCAGUGUCUCUCUCUCCCAAUAAUUCUCUCUCCUAGUCUCUUACUUUCCAGUGUCUCCCUCUCACUUCCCCAGUGUCUCUCUCUCUCCCAGUCUCUCUUACUUUCAGUGUCUCUCUCCCCAUUCUCUCUCUUACUUUCCCAGUGUCUCUCUCCCAGUGUCUUACUUUCCCAGUCUCUCGCUCACUUCCCCAGUGUGUCUCUCUUACUUUCCCAAUGUCUCUCUCUCACUUCCCCAGUGUCUCUCUCUCCCUGUCUGUCUCUCACUCCAGUCUCUCACUUUCCCAGCAUCUCUCCCUCCCAGUAUCUCUCUCCCCGUUUCUCUCUCUCUCGCUCCCCCCGUGUCUUCCUCCGUGUGUCUUUCUUUGUGUGUCUCUCACUCCAGUCUCUUUCUUCUCCCUCAGUCUCUCUCACUUGUCCUGCAUAUUUCUCCCUCUCUUUAGAUGACUUCAAGUCGUGCUGAUUAUAAAUCCCUCGGUUCACACCUCGGGGGUUUGGACACCUGCAGCAGGAGGUGUUAUGCGCGGGCGCAUCAUCGUAUGCGAGAGGCUGCGCCGUUGGGCUCAGGUGUUCCCCGCCGUCAUCCUACAGACGCAUGACAAACCCAGACGGUGAGUAAGAACCCAGCACACGUACAGUGUAAGAAAGAGCGCGUCAGG
Ictalurus punctatus (channel catfish) is the source of this 872-nucleotide long non-coding RNA. NCBI's taxonomy places the organism in Eukaryota, Metazoa, Chordata, Actinopteri, Siluriformes, Ictaluridae. The record is from Ensembl.